Molecule: transfer-messenger RNA, 357 nt
Filed under: Anaerovoracaceae
Lineage: Bacteria; Bacillati; Bacillota; Clostridia; Peptostreptococcales
Also listed under: 1 other name
Description: Lentihominibacter sp012513435 Standard tmRNA
Rfam family: transfer-messenger RNA
About the family: Bacterial tmRNA, also known as 10Sa RNA or SsrA, is named for its dual tRNA and mRNA-like properties. Its role is to liberate the mRNA from a stalled ribosome. To accomplish this part of the tmRNA is used as a reading frame that ends in a translation stop signal.
Source: RNAcentral
GGGGAUGUUUUUGGUUUCGACGGGGGUGUGGAAGCCGGAUAAGCGAGUCGCAGUUUGUCCAGUCUGCGUUAAAAAGGACACGUUAAAUACAAACGCUAAAAAGAAUAAUAAUUUCGCAUUAGCUGCGUAGCAGCACGCGCGUUCACCCGGAUUCACCUGCAGAUUCGGUGUUGGACGUCAAACAUGCAGGAAAACCUUAUGUGAAUGCCCGGCAGCAUAAGGGACUAACGGGAUAGCCGAUGGCAAAGCCUGCUUUUGGGCGUUGUCGGAGGCGAACUUCUAAAUCAAAAGCUGCACUCGGAGAAAGUCUUGUGAAAAUGCUUUCGGACGCGGGUUCGAGUCCCGCCAUCUCCACCA